UACGUAGGGGGCAAGCGUUGUCCGGAUUUAUUGGGCGUAAAGAGCGUGUAGGUGGCUUCACAGGUCCGCUGUGAAAACUCGAGGCUCAACCUCGAGCUGUCGGUGGAAACCGUGUGGCUAGAGUCCGGAAGAGGAGAGUGGAAUUCCCGGUGUAGCGGUGAAAUGCGCAGAUAUCGGGAAGAACACCCGUGGCGAAGGCGGCUCUCUGGGACGGUACUGACGCUGAGACGCGAAAGCGUGGGGAGCGAACAGG
Molecule: ribosomal RNA, 253 nt
Filed under: uncultured bacterium
Lineage: Bacteria
Description: partial 16S ribosomal RNA
Rfam family: Bacterial small subunit ribosomal RNA
Source: RNAcentral